CCUGGGGUGGGGAAGACGAAGCGCCACAGGGUCGCCCUGCCCAAGAUGGCGGGCAGCAUGGUGGGGGUCUGCAACUGUCAAGACUUUCAGCCAGGUGUAAGUCGAGCCUGAGGUGAUUGGCCACUACCUAGAUGCCUUACGUGUUUUCUAUCACUAAAUCCUCCCAGCCAACCUUUUGAGCCAACGCCCCCAUCUCAGUUUCACAGUUGAGCAGCUUGAGGUUCGGAGACAACAAAGCGGAGCCUUGUCAGCCCUCCCGAGGAGAGUCGGACAUCUCCAGGCUGCCGAGCCAAAGACUGUCCAGUGCAUCUGCAGCUUCUCCAUCUUCCUUGCUGACAACCCCUUUGGAGCAGAAAUCCCGAUGCAAAAGGCCUUCGGGUGACCGGGACACAAUGACCCUGAGCUGCUCCUGGUCACCAUGCAUCCCUGCUCAUGGGAGAAGCCUAUUGGUUCUAAGGUGAGACAGUGUCCCUUUGAUGUUCACCAGUUUUGCAAGAGGCUGCAACGAGAGGAUAGGCUUCCUGCCCGAAUCAAAAGUGCAUGAGGCCCCCUCGCCGGGCCAGCCUCCUAACAAACCACAAGCGUGUGGGGUGGCGCCUCCCUGGGUGGUUGUGAGGCCUGCCUCUUGGCAGUGACUGGAGGCUACCGGUUCCCGCCCUCCUCAAAGCCAGCACCUGGAAAACUACCUGCUUAGCAGGAACCAAACUCCAAACACAGCCUGGUUACUGGAGAUGAGGAAAAGCAAAUGAACUUGUAAUUUCAUUAUUUCUACCCAAAAGCGUCAGCAUUCAGAACAGACCUAAACCUGCUGGACUGUUAAGCACUGCUCUUUUGGCUAGCUCUGCCCCAUCUACGAUCAAACUAAUUUAAAAGUUUCCAGAAAGCCCUGCCCUGUUUCAAGCAGGGCCGACAAUUAGAUAGCCAGGCUGUUCCCAGUAAUGAAGCUCACUAUCAGUCCACAAGAUCGGCUUUAUCUUCAUACGCAUGAAAGGACUUGUUUGGUCCCUGGCUUCGCCCUCUGCUCUCAAUGUGAAGUGGAAGAUGUAGUCACUCAUCUCAAGGUUCAUAAGAUUAAAGGGAAAGAGACCUAACAAGAGCCUGUAUGUGAGCAAGAAACUGGCAAGAUGAAGUAUAACUGUAAGAGGAAUCACUGCCACGUGCCCAAACCUGGGCAGACAAGUACCUGGAGGGAAGCACCAGGAAGGGAAGGGAGGGCCAGCCAGAGAGACUCCUGCAGGCCCAGACUCCGGAGAAGGGAGGAGGCAGGGCCUCGGGUCCGCACGGGAAAACAAGGGGGUCAGGGUAGGGGGGCUACAGUGUUUCCAAGGGAGGAUGAGGUGAGGUCACGAGUUGGCUCUGGCAUUAAACAGCCCUGGCUGUGGAGCCCAGGAUCACUGCUCACAAGCUGAGGUCUCCUGGCAGAGUCACUUGACUUCUCUGUGUCUCAGUGCCCUCACUUAUAAAUGGGGAAGGCAAGUGUCCACUGGCAGAACACCAGUAAGGGUUACACGAAGAUGCAGGUGAACGCUCAUCAUCUUCCUUGUCGCAACUCUGCCGAUCAACUCUGUCUGGCACCAUCUAGAGGGCACCUCUUGUUUCCUUCUUCCCCAACAACCUCCGUGGAUAAUUUGGUACCACUGUGGUGCAGCUGCUGGCAGAUUACUGCCAGGUGGCAUCACCCGUGCCCUACGCACGUAUGUUGUAUGUAACUUAGAAACCACUACAGGAGACCAGUGUUUCCCCAAGUUCUCUCACCCUGGGAACUGAAGGCAUCCAGCUGAAGACGGAAAAGGCACAGCGAGGAGAGCAGGCCCACGGGUCCCCCCGGGCGUGGGGCGUGGCCGGGGCAGCGACGGA
Odocoileus virginianus texanus is the source of this 1857-nucleotide long non-coding RNA. RefSeq lists it as uncharacterized. The record is from RefSeq and is a predicted model, not a curated record. NCBI's taxonomy places the organism in Eukaryota, Metazoa, Chordata, Mammalia, Artiodactyla, Cervidae.